CAUGGCUUUUUGUUAUUAAUAUAAGGUCUAACCUGCCCAAUGAUAAUUUAUUAAAUGGCCGCGGUAUUUUGACCGUGCAAAGGUAGCAUAAUCAUUAGUUUUUUAAUUGAAAGCUGGUAUGAAAGGUUGAAUGAGAAAAUAACUGUCUUUAUAAUAUUUAAUUAGAACUUUAUUUUUAAGUAAAAAAGCUUAAAUAAUAUUUAAAGACGAGAAGACCCUUUAGAGUUUUAUAAAAUUUAUAUUUUUGAUUUUUUAGAAUUAACUAUAAUGAAAUAAAAUUUUAUUUGAUUGGGGUGAUUGAAAAACUUAAAUAACUUUUUUUUUUAUUACACAUUUAUAUAUGAAUAUUUGAUCCAUAAAUUAUGAUUAUAAGAUUAAAUUACCUAAGGGAUAACAGCGUUAUUUUUUUUGAGAGUUCUUAUCGAAAAAAAAGAUUGCGACCUCGAUGUUGGAUUAAAAUUAAAUUAUGGUGUAGAGGCUAUAAC
RNAcentral lists this ribosomal RNA (485 nucleotides) under Meligethes pseudochinensis. RNAcentral describes it as "partial large subunit ribosomal RNA". It matches the Rfam family "Bacterial large subunit ribosomal RNA", at positions 1814 to 2568 of the family's 2925-position model. Lineage: Eukaryota; Metazoa; Arthropoda; Insecta; Coleoptera; Nitidulidae. The record is from RNAcentral.